GGCCUGACGGUGUAGUGGUUACACAACCUCUUAGUCUGCAGAGCCGCUUGUAAUCUUCCGAGGAAGUCCUCGGUUCGAAUCCGAGUCAGGCCA
This is a non-coding RNA of Mycena crocata, 93 nucleotides long. The record is from the annotation of a GenBank genome assembly. NCBI's taxonomy places the organism in Eukaryota, Fungi, Basidiomycota, Agaricomycetes, Agaricales, Mycenaceae.